CCGGGCCCUCACCCAACGGUGGGCAGGGCUGGACCGGGCACCUUUACGUAAGGCGGAGGCGGGGACAGCGCCGUGGUGGUGGGGGUAGAGCUAUGUCGUGGUACCGCAACACGGUGUGGUUCGUGAAGGGGCUGCGGGAGUACACGAGGAGUGGCUACGAGUCUGCUUCCAAGCACUUCGACCCAGCAGAUCUGGAGGUGAACGUGGCUGGUAGAUCCUUUCUGAUCACUGGGUCCAACAGCGGCAUUGGCAAGGCUGCAGCCAAGGAGAUAGCACGGAGAGGUGGCACAGUUCACCUGGUUUGCCGCAACAAGGAACGAGCUGAGGAUGCCAAAGGAGAAAUAGUGACAGAAACUGACAAUCAGAAUAUCUUCUUGCAUAUUGUGGAUAUUUCUAACCCCAAAGAAAUCUGGAUGUUUGCUGAAAAGUUCAAAAAUGAACAUAAAUUGAAUGUGUUGAUUAACAAUGCAGGGUGUAUGGUGAACAACAGAGAAUUAACUGAAGAUGGACUUGAGAAAAACUUUGCAACAAACACCUUGGGGAUUCCUUAUUUUCUGACUUUUGUAACGCUGAGGAUUUACAAGACAGUUCUGAUGGAACACCUCUCCUACGAGGACAGGCUGAGAGAGCUGGGGCUGUUCAGCCUGGCGAAGAAAAGGCUGCGAGGAGACCUGAGAGCGGCCUGUACGUACGUUCUGACAACUGCCCUGCUGCCCCUUCUGGAAAAAGAAGCUGACGCCAGAGUGGUAACUGUCUCUUCUGGGGGCAUGCUAGUCCAAAAAUUAAAUAUAUCUGACUUGCAGUCAGGAAGUGGGACGUUUGAUGGAGCUAUGGUGUAUGCUCAAAACAAGAGACAGCAAGUUGUCUUGACAGAACAAUGGGCAAAAACUCACAGAAGCAUCCAUUUCUCUGUCAUGCACCCCGGCUGGGCAGACACUCCAGCUGUGAGGUCGUCGAUGCCAGGCUUCUAUCAGAAGAUGAAGAACAGCCUGCGCACAGAGGCCCAGGGAGCUGAUACUGUGGUGUGGCUGGCAGUGUCAUCUGAGGCAGCAAAGUUACCGAGCGGCCUCUUCUUCCAAGACAGGCAACCAGUCCCUACACACCUACCCUUAGCAAGAACCCACAGCCCACCAGGGGAUGAGGAGAAGCUAAUGGAGGUGCUGGAAGAAUUAUCCCAGAAGUUUAAAUCCAGUUCUUCAGUAUCACCUCAGUGCCACUGAAGAUCAAGGAGCAGAUCCUCCUGGAAGCUGUGCUAAGGUGCAUGGAAGAGAAGGAGGUGAUAUGAUAGGGGAUAACCAGCAUGACUUUGCCAAAGGCAGAUCCUGCCCGACCUUUGCUUUUUAUAAUGGCAUAACUGCAUCAGUAGACAAGGGAAGAGCCACUGAUGUCAUCUAUCCGGACUUCAGUAAGGCCACAGUCCCCCAUUACAGCUUUCUCUCCAAAUUGGAAAGAGACACAGUCCCCCAUAACAUUCUUCUCUCCAAACUGGAAAGAUAUGGAUUUUAUGGGUGGACAGUUCAGUGGACAAGGAAGUGGGAUCGUACCCAGAGAGUGGUGAUCAAUGGCUCAGUGUCCAGAUGGAGAUCAGUGACAAGUGGUGUCCCUCAGGGGUCAGUACUGGGACCAAUACUCUUUAACAUCUUCAUCAAUCAACAGUGGGAACGAGUGUACCCUCAGCAAGUUUGCAGAUGAUGCCAAGCAGCGUGGUGCAGUUGACAUGCCUGAGGAAUGAGAUGCCAUUCGGAGAGACCUGGACAGGCUCAAGCAGUGGGCUCAGGAGAACCUCAUGAGGUUCAACAAAGCCAAGUGCAAGGUCUUGCACCUGGGGGUACUGGUGGAUGGCAAGCUGGACAUGAGCCAGUGAUGUGCUGUUGCAGCCCAGAAAAUCAAGUGUAUCCUGCGCUGCAUCAAAAGAAGCAUGGCCAGCAGUCAUGGAAGCAAACGUUUCAGAGAUGGCCAAAGAGAAGUCACAAUGGAAAAUUCCUACAGACUGAAUUCCUGCCAAAUUUCAUAUGAGAUUUUGAAGAGGAGAUCCUGUUCUUCUCACAAAAGGUCACUGCUAAAGGGACUCAGCAUAUUAAUUCAUCUGGAAAGGGGUUCAGGUUUGUUCUUACUGCUGUGUACUAUGAUCACAUAAGGAAAAAGAGUUUUAGACACUGACUGAAAACAUCAUAUUUGCUCAGCGGGGCGCCCUGGAAAGGACAGGGACCUGCAAAGCCACUCACUGCAGAACUACCUCCUAUGGACCACAGAACAGAAUUUCAGUUGUUUUUACACAAAUUCUUUUGUGAAUAGCAAAGACAGACACAUACUACAUUUUUUAACUUCUUCGUAGCCCCAGUAUUUUAUUGUUAAAUAUACUUUAAAAUAUAUAUUAUUUUUUAUUUUUCUAAGCCACGUAGUAGGUGAAGAUGUUAAGUGGAUUUUUGAUUACAGAAGCACAGCACGGCUGAGUCUAGAAGGGCCCUCCGGGUCCCUCUGCUCCAGCCCCUGCCCCAGCAGGGACACCCAGAGCAGGGUGCCCAGGGCCACAUCCAGGCGGCUCUGGGAGAUCCCCAAGGAGGAGACCCCACAGCCUCUGGGCAGCCUGUGCCAGUGCUCCGUCACUGCACGGCACAGCAGUGCUCCUGGUGUUCAGAGGGAACCUCCUGUGCUCCAGUUUGUGCCCACAGCCUCUGGUCCUGGCACCGGGCACUGCUGACAAGAGUCUGGCUCCAGCCUGUGGCACCCUCCCUCAGGGAUUUAUGGACACUGAUGAGAUCCCCCUGCGCCUCCUCUUCUCCAGCUGAGCAGUCCCAGCUCUCUCAGCCCCUCCUCACAGGAGAGAUGCUCCAGGCCCUUCAUCAUCCUUAUGCCCCUUUGCUGGACUCCCCAGUACAUCCACGUCUCUCUUUUACUGGGGCCAUGCACUGGACACAGCUGGGGGGAAAGUUGCUUAUUCCUCUUCAAAAUCUCUAACCCUGGUGUUAGUCUCCUGCACCAGAGGGACCAUCGGUACUAUACCUUGCACUGCCCACCUACUUUUCAUAGAAUCACAGAACCACAGAAUGGUUUGAGUUGGAAGGGACU
Molecule: RNA transcript, 3069 nt
Organism: Numida meleagris (helmeted guineafowl)
Lineage: Eukaryota; Metazoa; Chordata; Aves; Galliformes; Numididae
Gene: DHRS12
Gene name: dehydrogenase/reductase 12
Exons: 12
Source: RefSeq, a predicted model, not a curated record